This 414-nucleotide ribosomal RNA is filed under the name uncultured bacterium. Its description in RNAcentral is "bacterial SSU rRNA". It matches the Rfam family "Bacterial small subunit ribosomal RNA", at positions 355 to 784 of the family's 1533-position model. The record is from RNAcentral.
UGGGGAAUCUUGGACAAUGGGGGCAACCCUGAUCCAGCCAUGCCGCGUGGACGAUGAAGGCCCUAGGGUUGUAAAGUCCUUUCACCGGUGAAGAUAAUGACGGUAGCCGGAGAAGAAGCCCCGGCUAACUCCGUGCCAGCAGCCGCGGUAAUACGGAGGGGGUUAGCGUUGUUCGGAAUUACUGGGCGUAAAGCGCACGUAGGCGGACCAGAAAGUUGGGGGUGAAAUCCCGGGGGCUCAACCCCGGAACUGCCUCCAAAACUAUUGGUCUAGAGUUCGAGAGAGGUGAGUGGAAUUCCAAGUGUAGAGGUGAAAUUCGUAGAUAUUUGGAGGAACACCAGUGGCGAAGGCGGCUCACUGGCUCGAUACUGACGCUGAGGUGCGAAAGUGUGGGGAGCAAACAGGAGUUAGAUA